UCCAGAUGUCCUCCUCUAUCUCCUGUGGGGU
This 31-nucleotide non-coding RNA is filed under the name Homo sapiens (human). Lineage: Eukaryota; Metazoa; Chordata; Mammalia; Primates; Hominidae. The record is from RNAcentral.